Hypanus sabinus (Atlantic stingray) is the source of this 1622-nucleotide long non-coding RNA. RefSeq lists it as uncharacterized. NCBI's taxonomy places the organism in Eukaryota, Metazoa, Chordata, Chondrichthyes, Myliobatiformes, Dasyatidae. The record is from RefSeq and is a predicted model, not a curated record. The transcript has 6 exons.
UGACUUCCUGCAAGAUGUCCGUGACUGAGAACGAUGGAGGGGAACUUUGCAGUCUCCCCACUGCCUUGUGGUGCUCGCUCCAGUACUCCCCACUUUUCAGUCUUCUUUGGUACAUCAUUGCUGCCAGCUGGCUCAGUUAAUUAGUGACCAUAGUGAAAAAUAAUGGGAGAGCAAUUGUCUUCUGCAAGCUCGGACUGGUGUCUGGUCAAUGCACUCUGCUGAAGGAAGGACCAGGAGGAAAUGUGGUGCUAAAUGUCAUCUUUAUAGAAUGCAAGCCCGAAAGAACUGACUGGGUGAAACUAAGGCCUUGACACUGGUCUGGGAAAGGACACUGCUACUGGUUUGCAUAUUCUUCCAAAGAAGCUGGAGAACAUUGUGGAUGCUGCAUUGAUGAUAUCUUUCCACUUUCCCUUUGAAGAUAUAUCAGACUGAAGACCCAGAAGGCGAUUCAAUGAACUGGAAGAGGUGCAGCAAAUCGGGAUUCUAAUAGGAGAGGAUCUGGUUUGGAUGAAUAUAAGAUCAUCAGAGCAUACCUGUUGCACUUAUUCAUAUGUAACUACUUCUGGGAAUCAAAAGAAGGGUUGCCGUAGGAAAGCAACACCUAUCAUCAGGGAUCCCAACUACCCAGGACAUGUUCUCUCCUCACAGCUGCCAUCAGGAAGAAGACACAACAGCCACAGGACUUGUUACACCAGGUUCAGGAAAAGUUAUCACCACAUAAUCAUCAGGCUCUUGAACCAAAUUCACUCGGUUCACUUGCCCCCUCAUUGAAAUAUUCCCACAACCAAUGGACUCACUUUCAAGAAUUCAUGUUCUCAAUAUUUAUUGUUUCUUUGUUGUUAUUAUUAUUGUUAUUUGUUGUUGUACUUGCAUAGUUUGUUGUCUUUUACACACUGGUUGAACACCCAAGUUGGUGUGGUGUUUCAUUGAUUAUGUUAUGGUUAUUAUUCUAUGGAUUUAUUGAGUAUGCCCACAAGAAAAUUAAUCUCGGGGUCAUAUAUGGUGACAUAUAUGUACUUUGACAAUAAUGAACUUUGACCUUUAGUAUCAGUGUAAUCAAAGAUGCAAUCAAUGUUGUUUUAUAUUUUGUAGUUAACAUUAAUGAUGCCACAGCUAGAGUAUUAUGUACAGUUUUGAUCACUGCCAUAUAGGAAGUAUGUGAUUGCUUUGCAUAGGAUGCAGAGGAGAUUUACAAAGAUGAUGCCAGAACUAAAGGCAUUUAUAAUUGAAGAAAGGCUGUCUAAUCUGCUGUCUUCAGUACGGUGGAGGCUGAGGAAUGACGUAUUCCCUUUUGCAGUAAGGUGAGUACCUAGGGGAGAUUGAUUUGUGUUCAAUGGUCAAACGAUUAGAGGAGAGGUGAGAAGAAAACAUUUCAUUCAGUAAGUGGCGGCGAUGUAGAACCUACUGCCUGAAAGGGUAGUGGAGACAGAUGCUCUCAUCAUAUUUAAAGUGCUUGGUUGAACACUUGAAGAACUGUAAUCUGUUGGGUACAGAAUCAAGAGCUGGGAAUGAGGCUAGCUUGAUUUCAAGUUUUCACCAACAAUGAAUGAAAGAUGAACAUUAGAUUAAUAUGUAGUAAUGCUGUAAUUUCUUAGUUUAAAAUUGUGUUAUGAUUAUUAUAA